RNAcentral lists this ribosomal RNA (371 nucleotides) under uncultured organism. Its description in RNAcentral is "bacterial SSU rRNA". It matches the Rfam family "Bacterial small subunit ribosomal RNA", at positions 527 to 896 of the family's 1533-position model. The record is from RNAcentral.
CGGAGGGGCGAGCGUUGUCCGAAGUUACUGGGCGUAAAGCGCGCGUAGGCGGGUUGUCAAGUCCGCUGUGAAAGCCCGAGGCUCAACCUCGGAGGGUCGGUGGAUACUGACAGUCUUGAAGGUGCUAGGGGGAGAUGGAAUUACCGGUGUAGCGGUGAAAUGCGUAGAGAUCGGUAGGAACACCAGUGGCGAAGGCGGUCUCCUGGGGCAUUCUUGACGCUGAUGCGCGAAAGCUGGGGGAGCGAACGGGAUUAGAUACCCCGGUAGUCCCAGCCCUAAACGAUGGAUACUAGGUGUCGGGGGUAUCGACCCCCCCGGUGCCGCCGCUAACGCAGUAAGUAUCCCGCCUGGGGAGUACGGCCGCAAGGUCG